Molecule: ribosomal RNA, 417 nt
Filed under: uncultured bacterium
Lineage: Bacteria
Description: partial 16S ribosomal RNA
Rfam family: Bacterial small subunit ribosomal RNA
Source: RNAcentral
AAUAUUGGUCAAUGGAGGCAACUCUGAACCAGCCAAGUCGCGUGAGGGAUGACUGCCCUACGGGUUGUAAACUUCUUUUUUAAGGGAAUAAAGUGAGCCACGUGUGGCUUGUUGCAUGUACCUUAUGAAUAAGGAUCGGCUCGCUCAGUUCCAUGAGCCGCGGUAAUACGGAGGAACCGAGCGUUAUCCGGAUUUAUUGGGUUUAAAGGGUGCGCAGGCGGAAUGUUAAGUCGGCGGUGAAAGUUUGCAGCUUAACUGUAAAAUUGCUGUUAAUACUGGUAUUCUUGAGUGUGUAUGAAGUAGGCGGAAUUUGUAGUGUAGCGGUGAAAUGCAUAGAUAUAGCAAGGAACUCCGAUUGCGAAGGCAACUUACUAAAAUAAAACUGACGCUUAGGCACGAAGGCGUGGGGAUCAAACA